AACUAACAAGGAUUCCCCUAGUAACUGCGAGUGAAGCGGGAAAAGCUCAAAUUUAAAAUCUGGCAGUCUUUGGCUGUCCGAGUUGUAAUCUAGAGAAGUAUUAUCCGCGCUGGACCGUGUACAAGUCUCCUGGAAUGGAGCGUCAUAGAGGGUGAGAAUCCCGUCUUUGACACGGACUGCCAGGGCUUUGUGAUGUGCUCUCAAAGAGUCGAGUUGUUUGGGAAUGCAGCUCAAAAUGGGUGGUAAAUUCCAUCUAAAGCUAAAUAUUGGCGAGAGACCGAUAGCGAACAAGUACCGUGAGGGAAAGAUGAAAAGAACUUUGGAAAGAGAGUUAAACAGUACGUGAAAUUGCUGAAAGGGAAACGCUUGAAGUCAGUCGCGUUGGCCAGGGAUCAACCUUGCUUUUUUGCUUGGCUUACUUCCUGGUUAAUGGGUCAGCAUCAAUUUUGACUGGUGGAAAAAGUUCAAGGGAAUGUGGCAUCUUCGGAUGUGUUAUAGCCUUUGCUCGCAUACAUCAGUUGGGAUUGAGGAACUCAGCACGCCGCAAGGCCGGGUUUUAAACCACGUACGUGCUUAGGAUGCUGGCAUAAUGGCUUUAAUCGACCCGUCUUGAAACACGGACCAAGGAGUCUAACAUGCCUGCGAGUGUUUGGGUGGAAAACCCGAGCGCGUAAUGAAAGUGAAAGUUGAGAUCCCUGUCGUGGGGAGCAUCGACGCCCGGAUCUGACCUUUUGUGACGAUUCCGCGGUAGAGCAUGUAUGUUGGGACCCGAAAGAUGGUGAACUAUGCCUGAAUAGGGUGAAGCCAGAGGAAACUCUGGUGGAGGCUCGUAGCGAUUCUGACGUGCAAAUCGAUCGUCAAAUUUGGGUAUAGGGGCGAAAGACUAAUCGAACCAUCUAGUAGCUGGUC
RNAcentral lists this ribosomal RNA (909 nucleotides) under Laccaria sp. RNAcentral describes it as "eukaryotic LSU rRNA". It matches the Rfam family "Eukaryotic large subunit ribosomal RNA", at positions 63 to 956 of the family's 3401-position model. Lineage: Eukaryota; Fungi; Basidiomycota; Agaricomycetes; Agaricales; Hydnangiaceae. The record is from RNAcentral.